GUUAAUUGAAAUAACUUAAACUAUCUAGAAGUCAACUAUUUAGGGCCUAAAACACGUUUGAGAUAAGUCACUUAACAAACAAAAAUGGGAUAAUCAGAAUAUUGUUUAUUACAAGCAUACGUAAGGAGUUCACCAACUAGGUUGCCAUGUAUGAAUGUUUAGUUAUCCAUUAGCUACCUACAAGAUUCUAGCAAAGGAAAUUAACUAUUCUAUAUACAACAACUAUUCAAUAUACAUACUAAAAAAUGAAUUCGAAAAUAGCUUCAGCACUGUAUUCAUGCUUCAAAUUUCAGAUUACAAGGUUUCGCAAAUCAGUUGUCUACCUGAUAUUUGGAAAGCAAAGAAGGAAAGGAAUAUCAGUAGUGCAGCAGUAUACACACAGCAAUAGCAACAACACCAAUGGAUCAAGGAUGCAAAAGCCCAGAACCGGAUUUGAAAACCCAACAGACCAACUCCAACAACAAACAGAGGAACAGUAUCCCGACAACCAACCAACUUGCGAAGAAACCAAAUGAAGACCCAGAAAUGACUAAUAGCAAUCACAAGUAGAAAACACAAUGAACCAAAACCAGUGGAAUAGAAGAACAGUUAUGAUUCUUUAUCCCAAAGAAAGACCUCCCCUCUUUUUAGUUUCUUUUUUAAUCUUUAAACUCUCAACUUCAAAUUCUGAUUCAUAAUUCAGUCCUAAUCUCUCAAUUUCUGUUUCAAAAAUCGGUCUAUAUUUUUCACUCAAUGCCCUCUCUAAUUCCUUAUAAAUUUUCCAUCCCUCAUUACUCUUUAUUUCUAUGUAUUUAUCGUAACUCCUAAACCUACCCUUUUUGAAAAACUACACCACCUGACCUCCAAAAUAACAAAAGUCUGCCUACCCAUUUUGAAAAACUUAACCAAAGGCGCUUUCCCUUAAUUUCCUACUUAAUUCAAGGCACAUAUUAAGGCUUGACUAACAGACCAUUAACAUAGUCAAUUCUGCCAACUUUUCAUUCCCUAAAUAUCCCUAAAAACUGCUAUUGUUAUUACUUCCCUGUUAAAUCCCAAUAUUACUCCCAUAACCCCUUGUUAUUACAUGUAUUACCCUAAGCCUUACUAGUCAGACAUUACAACUAUAUAAGUUCAAACCUAAAACUAGUUUCUGGUUAAAUUCUAACCUAACUACAGCUAUAUCCAAUUCACAACUUAAAAUCGCACCAAUUAAUUCAAUAGAAAGUAUUCUGUAUACUGAAUCAGAAAAAAUUAACCUUUGUAAUUUUCAGGCAUAUUCCAAUGACGACACUCAUUCAAUUGACUAUAUAGACUACAAUGCACAAUAAUUAUUGACAAACAAUCAAUAGAAAAAUCUACAUAUGAUUGGGCAGUAUUUUACAGAAAUAUUGGAUUACAAUACCAUAAACUAUUCGACAACAUUAAUCGACUCGAUUACACACAAUUUAAUAAAUGAACAGAAUCAAGCAAGCAUACAGGUAAUUUUAAUUGGCAUUUGAUAGAAAUUAAAAUGAAACCUAAUUACAACAUCAAUCAACUUGAAUACGUAUUUUUAAUACGACUACAAUUAACAAUUAUUGACAAACAAUCAACAGGAAAAACAAUCUACAUAUGAUUGGGCAGUAUUUUAAAGAAAUAUUGGAUUACAAUACCAUAAACUAUUCGACAACAUUAAUCGACUCGAUUACACACAAUUUAAUAACCGAAUAGAAUCAAGAAAGCAUACAGGUAUUUUCAAUUGGCAUUUGACAAAAUUCAAGGAAUUACAAUGAAACCUAAAUUACAACAUCAAUCAAUUUGAAUACAUAUUUUUAAUACGACUACAAUUAACAACAAACAGAAGAAAUGAUUGACCAAAUAAAAGGUCUUAGUGAGAUGAACAGAAUUACUAGAAAAAAUGAUAGAAAAAUCACACAAAUUAAACUGUCAUGCCAACGAACGUAAAUAAAUCACAGAUAAGAGAGAAAGAAAGAAAAUACCUCGAAAGCUUAUGAAAAUAGAGGACCCGGAUUUGGAUCGGACUUAACCUCUUGGAGGUCGAACGGACCUUAAUCGAAGUGUUCUCAACUGAGAACACCUCAAUUAAGGUCUAUAAUACCCCAACCCUUCGUUUAAUUGGACAGAACCCAAGAUUCUGGAUUUCUAGGGUUCAUAUAGCCGAUUUGGGGCUCGGGGUUUUCUUGGUAUAUUCGAACCAAACCAAGCUUGGUUUGGUUACGAGUGACGUCAGGGGAGUGUUUGGUUCAAGUUUGGGGUCGAUUGGCAUGGGUUGAGUUUGGACUCGAAUCUUCGGAUGAAGAUUCGAGAGGUUAGGGCUUGACUCGAGAGAUAUCGCUAGGUUAGUCGUGUUUGGGGUGAAGAGGUGGUCAUGUGGGAUGAAGGAGAUGAUCGGCGGCGUAGUUACCGCCGGGUUUCUUGUGUAAAUCGCCUUAUGGCGACAACGGUUUCAGGGCUCUGAUCUCUGAGGGUUUGAGAUGGAAAUGAAGAAUGAGGAGGGCAGGGUGCCUUUGGGGGGUGCGGGGUGAGACAAGAGGGAUUAUAUAUGAGGUGGGGAGAUGAAUCUUGGUCGU
This 2549-nucleotide long non-coding RNA is filed under the name Nicotiana benthamiana. RNAcentral describes it as "long non-coding RNA (NBEN_LNC016546)". The record is from RNAcentral. Lineage: Eukaryota; Viridiplantae; Streptophyta; Magnoliopsida; Solanales; Solanaceae.